GAUGAACGCUGGCGGCGCGCCUAACACAUGCAAGUCGAACGAUUAAAGCACCUUCGGGUGUGUAUAAAGUGGCGAACGGCUGAGUAACACGUGGGCAACCUGCCCCUUUCAUUGGGAUAGCCACGGGAAACCGUGGAUAAUACCGAAUACUUCGAGACUUCCGCAUGGAAGACUCGAGAAAGCUCCGGCGGGGGGGGAUGGGCCCGCGGCCUGUUAGCUUGUUGGUGGGGUAACGGCCUACCAAGGCAAUGAUGGGUAGCUGGGUUGAGAGACCGACCAGCCAGAUUGGGACUGUGACACGGCCCAGACUCCUACGGGAGGCAGCAGUGGGGAAUCUUGCACAAUGGGCGAAAGCCUGAUGCAGCGACGCCGCGUGCGGGAUGAAGGCCUUCGGGUUGUAAACCGCUUUCAGCAGGGACGAGGCGAAAGUGACGGUACCUGCAGAAGAAGCCCCGGCUAACUACGUG
This 467-nucleotide ribosomal RNA is filed under the name uncultured bacterium. Its description in RNAcentral is "partial 16S ribosomal RNA". It matches the Rfam family "Bacterial small subunit ribosomal RNA", at positions 28 to 507 of the family's 1533-position model. The record is from RNAcentral.